This 498-nucleotide ribosomal RNA is filed under the name uncultured bacterium. Its description in RNAcentral is "partial 16S ribosomal RNA". It matches the Rfam family "Bacterial small subunit ribosomal RNA", at positions 28 to 507 of the family's 1533-position model. The record is from RNAcentral.
GACGAACGCUGGCGGCGUGCCUAAUACAUGCCAGUCGAGCGGACGAAUCGAAAGCUUGCUUUUGAUUCGUUAGCGGCGGACGGGUGAGUAACACGUGGGCAACCUGCCCUGUAGACGGGGAUAACACCGAGAAAUCGGUGCUAAUACCGGAUAACACGAAAUGUCGCAUGACGUUUCGUUGAAAGACGGCGCAAGCUUUCGCUACAGGAUGGGCCCGCGGCGCAUUAGCUAGUUGGUGAGGUAACGGCUCACCAAGGCGACGAUGCGUAGACGACCUGAGAGGGUGAUCGGCCACACUGGGACUGAGACACGGAACAGACUCCUACGGGAGGCAGCAGUAGGGAAUCUUCCGCAAUGGACGAAAGUCUGACGGAGCAACGCCGCGUGAGAGAAGAAGGCCUUCGGGUCGUAAAGCUCUGUUGUUAGGGAAGAACAAGUAACGCAGUAACUGGCGUUACCGUGACGGUACCUAACGAGAAAGCCACGGCUAACUACGUG